Long non-coding RNA from Parus major (Great Tit), 1277 nucleotides. RefSeq lists it as uncharacterized. The record is from RefSeq and is a predicted model, not a curated record. Lineage: Eukaryota; Metazoa; Chordata; Aves; Passeriformes; Paridae. The transcript has 3 exons.
CAGGAAAUGGAAGGUUCUUUUUUUCUGAUGGUGCGAGGACAGAAAGUCAUUCAAUUCAUUACAUGCAUAUCAAUCACCUUGGGAGGAGUUUUUGGAGAUGUUUCAUCCAGCACCUGACUCAAAGCAACUUCAACCCUGAUUCCACUCUAGAGUCAAAUGAGGUUGCUCAGGCUCUGGCCCAGCCAAAAUCUCAGAUGUGUAUUCCAACCUCUUUAGAUAACCCCAUGGCUCAUCAGCAACCAGAUUGCAGAGCAAGGCUCAUCAGGAGAUGAAAAAACCUUGAAGCAUGAGAAACAUCACAGACUGUCAAUUAAUAUCUCAUUAAUAAAGAGAACAACAACAAAAUGAAUGAAUAAACAAGGAAAAUAGGCUAAGUGGAGAGGUGUUAAUUGAUGAAGAUCUGAAAGGCUUGAAAGAUCUAAACAUAAAGAGUUUAGAAAAGAAUGAUCUCUUCAUAUGAAUUCAUUUGCUUGGAGGUUUGAAUUGGUCCUGCAUGACUGGGAUGCUGGGAAACAACAUGAAGAACACAGGCAUGAGCAAGGGCAGCAGGAUUGGAAAGAAGUAAAUGAACAGUCUGGAUUCUGAAUUAGCACUAAUGGAAGAGGCACUUGGUCAAAAAAUUUCACAUUUUCAGACAUCAUUGGAAAAAAAUAUUCCAGUAAUUUCUACCAUCUAAACACCAAACUACUGACCUGAGGGAAAAAUACUCAGAAUUCAAGACUCCUGCCUUCCUUGAAAGAUCUGCUGUGAGUGAUGCGUGGCACAUCUUGGAUCCUUGGAACUCCUAAUCUCCCACAGUGGUCACUUAAAAUUUUACAUGGUUCUCUUGACCUAACAAUGUUAAAUGCCAAAAGAAAUGAACAAAAUUAGUAGACCCAUUUAGUUGAUUUUUUGGAUUUGUGGUGUUUUUGGUGGGUUUUUUGUUUGUUUGGUAAUGACUAAGAGAGUUAGGAAUAAAGGAGGGGCAGGGAGGGAGAGACAGCAUCCUUCACAUGCAAGUCACAUAUCAGCCACAUCUAUAUAAAAUCCAGUUAGGACAAUCAGUGAUAAAUGUGAAUUGCUGUGUACUAGCUUUCAAGAAACAAGCUGAUAUCUCAAAUGGAGAUUACAGGCAAACAGAGUCAAACUAGACCUCUGAGAACUGUAUUGUUUACCCUUGCUCAGUGUUUUAAUUACUUGAAAUACUUAAUUUUGUUAAGAAACCUGUUUCACACUGUUGUGUAUACCUAGCUGUGAUUAAAUAUAAAAAAUAAAAUAUGAAAAUAUUUUUGAUGCAU